GGGCCGUUAGCUCAGUCGGUAGAGCAGCGGAUUUUUAAUCCGUUGGCCGUGGGUUCAAGUCCCAUACGGCCCACCA
RNAcentral lists this transfer RNA (76 nucleotides) under Syntrophus buswellii. Its description in RNAcentral is "tRNA-Lys". It matches the Rfam family "tRNA". From Rfam's summary of the family: Transfer RNA (tRNA) molecules are approximately 80 nucleotides in length. Their secondary structure includes four short double-helical elements and three loops (D, anti-codon, and T loops). Further hydrogen bonds mediate the characteristic L-shaped molecular structure. tRNAs have two regions of fundamental functional importance: the anti-codon, which is responsible for specific mRNA codon recognition, and the 3' end, to which the tRNAs corresponding amino acid is attached (by aminoacyl-tRNA synthetases). tRNAs cope with the degeneracy of the genetic code in two manners: having more than one tRNA (with a specific anti-codon) for a particular amino acid; and 'wobble' base-pairing, i.e. permitting non-standard base-pairing at the 3rd anti-codon position. The record is from RNAcentral. RNAcentral also lists the same sequence under 4 other names. Lineage: Bacteria; Pseudomonadati; Thermodesulfobacteriota; Syntrophia; Syntrophales; Syntrophaceae.